Long non-coding RNA from Cyprinus carpio carpio, 546 nucleotides. NCBI's taxonomy places the organism in Eukaryota, Metazoa, Chordata, Actinopteri, Cypriniformes, Cyprinidae. The record is from Ensembl.
GUUUGAGGGUUGUCAUCAUCUAAGGUCCUCCUCUGAGGGGUUGGCAUCAUCUCUUCUAAGGUGUUCGGUCACCUCAGAUCUUCAUAAGGGCUGGAUCCAGACUGAAGCUUGUAUAAGCCAGCUCAGUCAUUUCCGGUCAUCUGUCAAUUCAGUGAAGAUGUCAUUCUACACCCGGUGCUUUCAGGAUUUAGCUGAAGUGAAUAUCAAUGAUGUACACCGGCUUAUUCAGACAAACUCAAAGACUUCGUCCAGCAAACGGGAAAGAGGAUUUAAGUUGUACAUAUCCAGUUACAUUCAUGAAUAUGAAGGGCUUUAAGCCUGGUCCAACAAAUGAAAUGCUGGUAUUGUCAGCUAGGCCCAAGGACAGAAGAUUGGCAGAAGGCAUCAGGAGCAAGCUGUAUAAAGCUGCCUGUAACCUGACCUGUGGCCUUCCAGACAUCUCAGUUCUGCAGCUGAAUGAUAUUUGUGAAGGCAUGUCAAGAGAAAGGGCUCCUUAAAUAACCACCAUGGGGAUGUGCCUUUGGUGGACAGUGCUUUUGGAAAAGU